RNAcentral lists this transfer RNA (69 nucleotides) under Piaya cayana (squirrel cuckoo). Its description in RNAcentral is "tRNA-Arg". It matches the Rfam family "tRNA". From Rfam's summary of the family: Transfer RNA (tRNA) molecules are approximately 80 nucleotides in length. Their secondary structure includes four short double-helical elements and three loops (D, anti-codon, and T loops). Lineage: Eukaryota; Metazoa; Chordata; Aves; Cuculiformes; Coccyzidae. The record is from RNAcentral.
AGAAAGUUAGUCUAAAAAAGACAGUUGAUUUCGACUCAACAAACCAUAGCUUAAACCUAUGACUUUCUC